Molecule: ribosomal RNA, 482 nt
Filed under: uncultured bacterium
Lineage: Bacteria
Description: partial 16S ribosomal RNA
Rfam family: Bacterial small subunit ribosomal RNA
Source: RNAcentral
AUUGAACGCUGGCGGCAUGCUUUACACAUGCAAGUCGAACGGUAACAGGCCGCAAGGUGCUGACGAGUGGCGAGCGGGUGAGUAAUGCAUCGGAACGUGCCCAGUCGUGGGGGAUAACUACUCGAAAGAGUAGCUAAUACCGCAUACGAUCUAUGGAUGAAAGCGGGGGACCGUAAGGCCUCGCGCGAUUGGAGCGGCCGAUGUCAGAUUAGGUAGUUGGUGGGGUAAAGGCUCACCAAGCCAACGAUCUGUAGCUGGUCUGAGAGGACGACCAGCCACACUGGGACUGAGACACGGCCCAGACUCCUACGGGAGGCAGCAGUGGGGAAUUUUGGACAAAGGGCGCAAGCCUGAUCCAGCAAUGCCGCGUGCAGGAAGAAGGCCUUCGGGUUGUAAACUGCUUUUGUACGGAACGAAACGGCUCUGGUUAAUACCCGGGGCUAAUGACGGUACCGUAAGAAUAAGCACCGGCUAACUACGUG